This 36-nucleotide ribosomal RNA is filed under the name Amanita sinensis. Its description in RNAcentral is "partial 18S ribosomal RNA". The record is from RNAcentral. Lineage: Eukaryota; Fungi; Basidiomycota; Agaricomycetes; Agaricales; Amanitaceae.
AGGUUUCCGGUAGGUGAACCUGCGGCAGGAUCAUUA